This 460-nucleotide ribosomal RNA is filed under the name uncultured bacterium. RNAcentral's name for it is "bacterial SSU rRNA". It matches the Rfam family "Bacterial small subunit ribosomal RNA", at positions 30 to 480 of the family's 1533-position model. The record is from RNAcentral.
AUUGAACGCUGGCGGCAGGCCUAACACAUGCAAGUCGAGCGGUAGAGAGGUGCUUGCAUCUCUUGAGAGCGGCGGACGGGUGAGUAAUGCCUAGGAAUCUGCCUAGUGGUGGGGGAUAACGUUCGGAAACGGACGCUAAUACCGCAUACGUCCUACGGGAGAAAGCGGGGGAGUCUUCGGACCUCGCGCCAUUAGAUGAGCCUAGGUCGGAUUAGCUAGUUGGUGAGGUAAUGGCUCAACCAAGGCGACGAUCCGUAACUGGUCUGAGAGGAUGAUCAGUCACACUGGAACUGAGACACGGUCCAGACUCCUACGGGAGGCAGCAGUGGGGGAAUAUUGGACAAUGGGCGAAAGCCUGAUCCAGCCAUGCCGCGUGUGUGAAGAAGGUCUUCGGAUUGUAAAGCACUUUAAGUUGGGAGGAAGGGUAGUAACCUAAUACGUUGCUACUUUGACGUUACCG